Long non-coding RNA from Lolium perenne, 2789 nucleotides. RefSeq lists it as uncharacterized. NCBI's taxonomy places the organism in Eukaryota, Viridiplantae, Streptophyta, Magnoliopsida, Poales, Poaceae. The record is from RefSeq and is a predicted model, not a curated record.
CCAUCAACGACCCACACCUCCUUCCAAAUUAAUCCAAUCUUCUCCUCACCACGCACUUCCUCCGCAGCAGCAGGCGGACGCUCCUCCUCUGUCCUCUCGGCUGCUCCCGAACUAUAAUCCGCUUCCAUAGCCCCAACUGCUCACUCCCCUGAUGCCGUCGCGCCCGAUGAUGGCGACGAGGAGGACGGAUAAAUGACGACAGCGUCCUCCCGUGACAAGGACCUACACAACCCUCUCCAUCUGAAGCCCUUGCUUCUUCGUCGUCCGGUAAAGAGGAGAAGCCGCAACAGGUGGUGGACAGCGCGGACAUGCCCGAUGAGAUGAACAACAGGUCGAAGACGGGUGUGGUGGUGAGCACGUUCUCGGCCGCGGAUGUGGUGAGACUCACCGUCGUCGUGUACUCGAGGCGGCAAGCCGGCAUCCAGAUCGAACCUGCUGAUUUAGAACUCGAGCCAUCCUUUCAUUCCUUUGCCCUGAACCUGUUUCCGGAUGGAUACUCAAUUUCUGGGCUCGAUAAGGUCUAUGUGAAAUUGUGAAUUGAGAGGAUCGUAACUAUGUGUUUGUUCCUUGCUGCUCAUGACAGAUUCAAUCAGGCCCGUACGGGAUGCAUGUGCAGAGUGUGCAUAUGCACAGGGCCUCCAAAAAAUCAGGGCCCCCAAAUUCAUCUCAAGUAUUGGAGCAGUAGAUUGGCAGCAAUAAAUUAGCAGACUAAUCGAUAUUAGCAGCAAUAAAGGGCCCAUUUAUCAUCGUGGAGAGUGGAGACUUGCCCAACCCAAAUACACCACACGUCUAGAAAUCCACCCGAACCUCUCUUUCUUCCUCACUUUUCAUCUUCUCAAUUACAGCGUGCGUGCAGAGACAAAUAAUUAAGGAAGCAGUGUUUUAUUUUCUACAAUAUCUUCUAUUAGAAACGCUGGAGAAAGAAUGACUUUGGCCAAAGAAUCACAGGUUUCUGCCUGAGAUUUAUACACUCCCUCCAUCCCACCAAAAACAUGUCAACUUUAUCUAAAUUUAAAUAUACAAUAUCAAAAUAAUGUAGCAUUCCAGUUAGGAGAUACUUCUUAGGUUAUAAGCUCUAAUAUUUGCAUUUAGCAAGAUGAGUUCAUUGACAAAAGAAUAUUUUACUCCUUUUCUGCAUUAAACUCUCUGGUUAACUAAAAAUGGUUAUGAGCAGGGCCCGCUAUUACACUUUGCACAGGGCCUUCAUUUUGUCAAGUACGGCCCUGGAUUCAAUUGAUUUCAGUGUAGGUAAUGCUUGUUUUUCCUGAUUGGUGAUGAUCCAAAGAAGAAUUUGUAUAACUGAGCUUCCAAGCUUUUGGUAAGUAUGGUCCUUAUUUUACUUCCAUAGUGUCAAACGGGGUGGGGGAUAAUUAAUCAUGAGUGGCUUGAAAGCAACAAGGUUGAGGAAUGAGUACAUACAUUGCAAAGUGGGUUUUAUAUUGUGCAGUAUUGCAGUCUAUUUGCGUGCAACAUAUUUAUUGGCGGCACGCAGGAGGCGGACACACCAGACUCUAGAGCAUAGCAGGGCAUUUAUACUGUCGCACUUUGUUGUCAUGAUUCUAUUUUGUUGAUGAGAUCAAAGUAAGUAUUAUUGUGCAUAUUUUUCACAUAGUUUAUUUCCUCAUUGAUAUAUUCUUUCUAUGAGGGAACCAAAUAGCUUUGCUUAGAAAAUUUAUCGGAUAUGAGUAUUUUUAUAUAGAGAAUCUUAACAAGUAUUUAGUCCUGAUUGCUUGCUACUUUCUGUUGCGGAUUCUUAUAGUGUAUCGGUGGAUUUUAACAUUUUUACAAAUUUGUUCUUAAAGGAUAUUGGGUGCGGCUACUUCCUCCCAAGAUAUCUUCCUAGGUAUUCCUUGUGAAUUCCAAAAUGGAUACGCUAAAGUCACGGUCCAAUUUUGCAGCUUUAAUAUAUGAAUUUUCUCUUCUUCUGUGUGGCUUAUGUGUUGUGCACUACCUGACUACAUGACUACCCUUUAUGUCUAAUGGGGGUGAUUUUUCAGGAUGUGACUUUCCCAAAUUUAACACAUUUGCUCUAAGACUGGGCACUGAAUAUGUUGCCAAAGAUCUUUCCUUGUUUGCAGAGGCUUCAUAGAGUUACACGAUACAACUGUCUGGAAAUGUGAUUAUCAAGCCAGAAGUUCCAGGCAUAAUCUCAAGACGUGGAAGUCGGCCAGGCCCACUGAAUGUAUCAAUUCGUGCAUCAUUGUAUUCUCUAUUAGAGAAUACCGAGGAGAGCUCAAGGUGGUUGCCUUCCUCAAGGUUUUCUUCCGAAGUAUGAGAGUCCUCAAGAGUGCUUCUAUAUUAAUGACUAGCCCAUGCUUCACACCAUUUUUAGUGGAGGAGGUGCAAUUCAAGUUUAGCAAGAUUCUAAAUAGAUAGACAGUAACAACUGCUAAGUACCUUGGAGUGAAGGUACUGAAGGAGGCGUACCAUGGAUCUUUGAGGAAGGAACUGAUGCCUGCGGAGUUCCUCGACCAAGCUUAAUGCUUGUGGAGUAGUGCAAGCUUUUGGGAUGUGAACUAUGAAGCAUGCUUGUUAUCUGCGUCAUGAGUUUGUUGUAUCACAUUGCAGACUCCGCAGACAAUUCGUGGCUUGAUGUCUCGUGGGAAUCAGACACACUUUUUUGCGAAGUGUGGACUGAUAGUUUGUUGUUGUCUAACUCGAGUUACCAGUUUUCCCCGGUAUGUUUUCAUAAAGACAACAUGUUUCAUUGCCUAAAUUUUGUGAUUCUUGUCACACUGCCGGUGGGAGUCGAAAUCCAAAAUCACUAUGGACUGAUAGUUUUCUUGUCA